RNAcentral lists this ribosomal RNA (360 nucleotides) under uncultured bacterium. RNAcentral describes it as "bacterial SSU rRNA". It matches the Rfam family "Bacterial small subunit ribosomal RNA", at positions 354 to 710 of the family's 1533-position model. The record is from RNAcentral.
UGAGGGAAUAUUGGGACAAUGGAGGCAACUCUGAUCCAGCCAUGCCGCGUGAAGGACUAAGGCCCUAUGGGUCGUAAACUUCUUUUGACGCAGAGCAAUAAGGAUUACGUGUAGUCUGAUGAGAGUAUGCGUCGAAUAAGCAUCGGCUAACUCCGUGCCAGCAGCCGCGGUAAUACGGAGGAUGCAAGCGUUAUCCGGAUUUAUUGGGUUUAAAGGGUGCGUAGGCGGAUGGGUAAGUCAGCGGUGAAAUGUCCCGGCUCAACCGGGGAACUGCCAUUGAUACUGCCUGUCUUGAAUGCGGAUGCCGUGGGAGGAAUGUGUAGUGUAGCGGUGAAAUGCAUAGAUAUUACACAGAACACC